GUUAAUUUUUAGCUGUUCAGGUGUGACUGCACCUUUAUUCAGUGAGGACAUACUGGCUGGCACACAUUCAGGUUAAUGGGCUUCAGUGUUGCUUUGCAGUUAACUUUUUAAUGUUCAUAAACCUGGUAUGUGCUGAGGUGAUUUAAAGCAUAACACAGGUUUUUAGGUUUGCAAAUCUGUGAACCUCUGC
Molecule: long non-coding RNA, 190 nt
Organism: Dermochelys coriacea (leatherback sea turtle)
Lineage: Eukaryota; Metazoa; Chordata; Testudines; Dermochelyidae
Exons: 3
Source: RefSeq, a predicted model, not a curated record